UUUUACCUUCUAGGGUUGCAGGAAGGGUCGAGUGAGACAAAAUGUAUCUUAGAAUACUAAAACCUAAUUAAAGGAAAUUUUGUGUACAUAUUUAUUACCCGUGGUAAUAAAUCAGGAUUACUAUUAAGAUUUGAUUGGCAAAUGAAAAAAAUCCAUACCCAGUCACCACCACAUAUUUUCCAUCAGGCUGGUAUUUCAGGCGCUCCAGCGCUGACAACAAAACCUUGGCCUUUGUCUCGCCAUACAGUUCUACCUCUUCAGACAGCAGACCAAUUUCUCGAGCCAAGUUACCAAUGGACUUAGGCUUGCAAGAUCGUGAUAUGUCAAUGUCACUUAAAAGAAACACAUAAAAGAAAUUUUAUUUUUACCUUGGAACAGGUGUCUUGAGGUUAAGGUUGUUAUACUGGAUCGUCCAUUUUCCAGGCCUAAAUUUCUCCAGAAAUCGCUUUGCACUCUCUACUGUGCUCUAAACAAAAUGACAUAAAUGGAACUUAGAAGAGGUAAGAAUGUACAGGCACCUAGAAUGUUUUUGGCUGCCUGCCUCUUCCCGUAUCAGCUGGUGUGCAUUCAAGAUGAUUCCCAUCCUUAUUUAACAUCUGUGUAGGUUUUAGGACAUUUCUUCUUAAGGAGAAAGGCAGCAAUGUGACUCCUAUGGAUUCUUCUUAGAACUGUCACAGAAACGCUGAUCUGCACGCACCUGCAUCAGCAUUGCCACCGUCAUGGGCCCGACACCACCAGGAACAGGAGUGAUGAAGGCUGCCCGUUCUUUGGCCUCAUUGUAUGCCACGUCACCCACAACUUUUCUCCCAUUUGGUUUUGAAUCAUCUGGUAAGAGAGGUAAAAAUCAAAGCAAUGCCUCAGACUCACAAUCUUGGUGUUCAUUUCUAAAUUAUGUGAUCAAUUACAAAAGCUUAUUCCAAAGAAUAAGAAUUUAGGGUAUGUAGUCCCAUGUGGCUCAAGUGCUUACUUUACUUAAAAGCUAUGGGAUGACAGGUAAUUUCCAUUACCUAAGGAGAUAUUUGUUUUACCUCCAAAAAUUCAUAAGCUACUUAAGUGGUUUCUCAAAACUAGGAGAAUCCUUUUGUAGUCUGUCAGGAGGCAAAUAAAAAUACCAACUGUUUUUCAUCCUUAAAGCCAACUACCCAGUAUAUAAUGAGAACCUUUUAAAAUGUUAAUUUGCAAGGCCUACAAAAGAAUUUUUUGGGUGCACAAAGCUCCAACUUAUGUCACAGCUGCCAGAUACGGUUUCUACAGCAACUGUCAGCAUUUUGUGAGCUCCAUGCAUGAGCUGGAGGAACAAUUCAACAUCUAGUUCCAAAGACGAGCAGCUACUUAAAUGUAUGCAAAAAAGCAAAGAAUAUAAUUAUACUUCCCUUAAAAGGAUACAAGAACAACUACAAAUCUUACCAGCAAAGAACAGCUAUUCAAGAGAAUAAAACCCAGUGAUGCAUCAUUGCUCACUCACACAAAAUACAUCCUACACUUAGCUUCAGUGCACUUCCGGGAGGGGCUGGGGGACUGGCUAGAACUUGCAGCUCGAAGGCUCUGGAGGCGGGAUCUGGUAGGAUCUUAGCCAUUUCACCACCUCUCUUGGUCAACUUGCCGAAACUGAGAGAGGAGUCUUAAGGGGGUAGCCCAAGAGCCAGAAUGAACAGAUGUUUGCUCUAGGAUCAGUGCUUCCACUAACUGCUAGCCUUCCCCCCAUAGGCUCCUUGCUGGUCAUUAGUCCAAAGAUGCAAAGGAUUAACACCACCUAGUUCACAAGCUUGCUGACAAGCAAGAGAGGAAAUGUGUACAUUCUUAAAACUGAAAAAGCACUCUUCAAACAUAAGGGUUUUUCUCUUUCCAUCUUAGAUACAUGUGAUGUCUUCUAUAUGGAUUAGAAGGAGCUAGUGAGCAGGACUCUUUGGGAUAAUUUCAGGUUUCUAGAAGGUUAUAAAGCAGCAAACUAUAGCAAAAUAUUUCCUCUCAUAACCGACUAAAGUGUCAAAAUGCCAAGGGAAAACUGUUAAGGACCUGUUCCUUAGAAUAAGCUUCAUUAGGCUAACACUGAUGUUAGUAAAAUAGCCCUGCAUUUCUAUUUAUUAAAGUAAGUUAUUUUAUUUUCUCUGUAUAUAGAAGACACACCAAUUCCUACACAACUAAAUGCUGCACUAUGUGGGCUCAGUAUUUCAAGGAAAGUAUGAUGUGACCAGAGGAAAUUCUGACCAUUUCUCAAUCUAAGUGUAAGGCUUUAGUAACGAAGAGACAUCUUGGUUAUCUAACCUAACCCUUGAAUUUCCCACUCACUGUGAAUUAUAUGCACAAAAUUUCAAAAGAGCCUUGACUUCUCCACAUAUAGUUUGAGGACCUGUAUUAAUAGAAUCCAGUGCAGAAGUCACUACCCGGGAUAGGUUGAGAUUGGAUAGGGUGGAGACUCUGUUUCCUCUUUUUAUAGCCUUUCCAAAUACAACACUGUUAAUCUAGUUCUUCUCAAAUUUUGUUCAGCAAGCCAAGCACAAAGAACACUUUGUCUUUUGACCAUUACUUUCUGUCCUGUACUUGAAUCUUUAAAAAUAUUCCUUAACAAAAAACUUCAUUCAUUCUUGAUUUGACAAGUAAUUCAUGAUUAUUAUCCGUGAGUGGACCAUACAAAAUGAUUUAAAUCAAAAUAUGAACCAAGAGGUUGCCCAGUUAGAGAACAUGGUGCUUCAAAAUGAAUACUUGUCAAGAACAGUCUAGGUCCUUCAGCCCGCCCACUGGGCUGUACCUCAGUGACUCUGUCAUUCUUGGAGGACAAUAUAAAAAGCGUACUGAUACUUAUCCACCCAUAUGCUAAGGAUCAGUAAAAAUAUGGUUGACUAAGAAGGAAGCUACAGCUUUGCUCUUAUUCAUAUUUUACCAUCUACAUGAGGCAUAGAUGUGAACAGGGCAAGAAGUUUCAUGUUGAAGUCAACAUUUCACACCCAUCUGCAAGACUCAAGAUCCCCACCCAGGUUUUUCUUCAUCUGUCUCUCAAAUCUAGUCCAGAAAAUGUCAAAAGCACAAAUAUGAUAUAGAAGAUGCAAGAUUUUAAACAGAAUGAGCUUGAAUGUCAUAUCACAAGUACUCAAAGUGAGGAGUUGUAGGAGAGCAAUUUCUUUAUCACCCAUUAGAUAAUUACACUACAUGAAAAUGAGUGAUCAAUUAUGAGCUACUGUCUUAAAAGCAUGGUAGGGAGAGUGGGAGGGAGGUUAAAAAUGGUGAAGGCUUGACAGUGACUAAUGUUCCUGGCAGCUUAGUGUCUAUAUUUCAAACUUGAGAGGGGAAGGGGAAAAAAAGAUUAUUCUUGCUAUAACUCCCUUCUAUAAUUCAAAAGAUAUGAGUGUAACCAGUCUGGACAUACGAGGCUGGACAUAGCACGAGGGACAUGCUGAGGCCCUGGCUAGAUGACAGAGUAGAUCCUGGACACCCAGCAGGAGACACACAGCAAAGGCAACACCAAGUGCCAUGGGAGGGAGGGGUUUUCCAAAGAAGGAGAGAGCACCCCUUGGUAAGGGAAAAUGAGACACUGCUUGGAAGGAAGAAUGGGCAUUUGGACAGAGGAGGUGUUGAAAGUGAAGACUGCAUUUGAGUACUGCUGUCCUGGGGUGGUGCUUGAUGUACAGAAACAGUCAUUUGAAAGAAUAUUCCUCUCUUGAAUCUCUAAGGUAAGUGUACAAAUGUUCACUAUAUGUCCUUUCCUUUUUUAAUCCACCCAGAUUUUUUUAAAAAGAUUUAUUUAUUUAUGCAUACAAGAACUGGGGUACAGGCCAGAGCUGUGUGUGUGGGGGCAAGAGUCAUCAGAGACAGAGUGGGGAGGUGAACAGGCAAAUCUACUGAAAUAU
Molecule: long non-coding RNA, 3845 nt
Organism: Talpa occidentalis (Iberian mole)
Lineage: Eukaryota; Metazoa; Chordata; Mammalia; Eulipotyphla; Talpidae
Exons: 4
Source: RefSeq, a predicted model, not a curated record